AAUAGAUACCCCGGUAGUCCACGCCGUAAACGAUGAGUGCUAAGUGUUAGGGGGUUUCCGCCCCUUAGUGCUGCAGCUAACGCAUUAAGCACUCCGCCUGGGGAGUACGGUCGCAAGACUGAAACUCAAAGGAAUUGACGGGGGCCCGCACAAGCGGUGGAGCAUGUGGUUUAAUUCGAAGCAACGCGAAGAACCUUACCAGGUCUUGACAUCCCAUUGACCACUAUGGAGACAUAGUUUUCCCUUCGGGGACAACGGUGACAGGUGGUGCAUGGUUGUCGUCAGCUCGUGUCGUGAGAUGUUGGGUUAAGUCCCGCAACGAGCGCAACCCUUGUUCUUAGUUGCCAUCAUUUAGUUGGGCACUCUAAGGAGACUGCCGGUGACAAACCGGAGGAAGGUGGGGAUGACGUCAAAUCAUCAUGCCCCUUAUGACCUGGGCUACACACGUGCUACAAUGGACGGUCAAACGGUUGCCAACCGCGAGGGGGAGCUAAUCCGAUAAAACCGUUCUCAGUUCGGAUUGUAGGCUGCAACUCGCCUACA
This 543-nucleotide ribosomal RNA is filed under the name uncultured bacterium. RNAcentral's name for it is "bacterial SSU rRNA". It matches the Rfam family "Bacterial small subunit ribosomal RNA", at positions 777 to 1320 of the family's 1533-position model. The record is from RNAcentral.